CCUACGGGGGGCAGCAGUGGGGAAUAUUGCACAAUGGGGGAAACCCUGAUGCAGCGACGCCGCGUGGGCGAGGAAGUACCUCGGUAUGUAAAGCCCUAUCAGCAGGGAAGAAACAGGACAGUACCUGACUAAGAAGCCCCGGCUAACUACGUGCCAGCAGCCGCGGUAAUACGUAGGGGGCAAGCGUUAUCCGGAUUUACUGGGUGUAAAGGGAGCGUAGACGGUGCGCCAAGUCUGGAGUGAAAUGCCGCAGCUUAACUGCGGAACUGCUUUGGAAACUGGCGAACUAGAGUGCGGGAGGGGUA
This 305-nucleotide ribosomal RNA is filed under the name uncultured bacterium. RNAcentral's name for it is "bacterial SSU rRNA". It matches the Rfam family "Bacterial small subunit ribosomal RNA", at positions 338 to 659 of the family's 1533-position model. The record is from RNAcentral.